RNAcentral lists this long non-coding RNA (1281 nucleotides) under Chrysemys picta bellii (western painted turtle). Its description in RNAcentral is "lncRNA (ENSCPBG00000007561.1)". Lineage: Eukaryota; Metazoa; Chordata; Testudines; Emydidae. The record is from RNAcentral.
GGAAGAAUCACAUGAUCAGUGGUGUAGAUGCCUGUUAUCUGAGAACCUGGAGCUGCCAGGAACUCCGAAGACCCUCGCUCAUAAGCAGUGUUUCCGUCUACCGUGCACUUUAAUUUUAAAAAGUUACUCUAUCAAUAAAAGAGGAAUUUGGUCCAAAUGGAAAGUGUAAAUGUAGAUAAUCUGUGUCAACCUAUAUUUCAGUAAUUGCACAAUAAAGUCAGGAAUCCUGUUACACUUUUUAAGCACAAUUUUUGUAGAUCUUAGUAGACUGAUUUUGCUGUUUUGUUUCAGACUAAGCUUCACUUCCAGGCCCUGGCACCACAACAUGAGAAGAUCAGAUGGGGACUGGAAACCAAGACUAAGGCCUCAGGACACUGCUAUGGUCCGUGAGAACUCUCAUCUAUUCACAACAAAAACAAAAAACAAAAUAGAAAAGACUAUAGUACCUUCAAAAAAACAAAAAAUGUGAAGAGUGUCCGAGGAGAAAAUACUCUACAAUGUCUUCAGGCAGAUUCAUGCUUUGGGCUAAAUUCUAUCCUUAGAUGUGCAUAGGUCACUCCAGUUGGAAUCCUCACCAGUUCAGAAUUUGGCCCUGUGGUUUUGAUUUGAUAUAGGCUGUUGUGAUGGAAUUUGAGUUUUUCUGUAACAAUGUAUGUCUACUGUGUUGAUCUGAUUAUUGGGAUGUUUAGUGUAUGAAUAUAUUAGUUUAGUUUAACAGGGGGCUGUAAGGAAAAACAAGCAGGUAAGAAAGAAUGACCUGAGGUAAGCCACACAUCACCAAACACUUGAGGGUUGUUACAGGACAAUGUCUGAACUGUCCACUUUGACUAUUUUUACUGCCAACCUGAACAACUGGUUUGUCCAGAAGAGCCAAAUCCCAGAAGAACAAAAGACUGUAGCAGUUUAAAAAGAAAUUCUCAAGAGAGCGGCGAAUUGUUCAAGGGAAUCAGACUGAGACACGUGACAUCCCACUAGGGUGUCUAAAGAAGUUAGGCCUGCCUAGGUAUCAUCAAGGGAUGGCAAGUCUUUAGGUAAGAGAUAUACGUGUGUGGACUGUUUGGCGUUUUAAAAUCCUUUUUCUCUUAUGCUUUGUUCAUUUUGUGAAAUAAUACUUUGGUUUUAAGUAGGCUGCACUAGAGCUGGUUAGAAAAAAGCUGAUUUUUCUGUAAAAAAAAACAAACAACAAUUGAGAUUAAAAAAAAAAUUGUUCCAAAUUGGGAUCAAAAGCCAAAAUUCUUGGAAUUAUUUUCUUAAAUAAAAUUCCAAAAAGAAUUGAUUUCA